GAGUGGUGUUUGGCGCGUAUUGGCAUGUCGGAUCCCUGCUCGGGCAGCGACGGCAUCUCGGGCGCGCCUCUUCAGUCGUUGGCACAAGCACGGGCUUGUUCGUGGUCGGAUUUCCUGUGUUGCAUACCUCUUGCGAGGGCAUUCGGUCGGCUAUAUCGGUCCAAUUUCCGCCUUGCGUUGUUUCCCCUUGCGGGUUAGCGGCGUGGGGUGGACCACAAUGCACUCGUCGUGUUUCGCAUCGCGUUCGCCCAUGUCGGCGUUCGGGUUGUCGACCCACGGCGUGAUGCUCGUUGCCUCGGGUACGGAACAUCGGGUGGGUACGGGGCCGUCGGCCUCAAAUCUCCACAAAAAAUGCGUUCUACGCUUCUUGCGAACGACGGUCGGCCCGCACUUCGGCCUUGUCCUCGUGGCUCGGUUCGAGUCGUGUCGAUGUCGGUGAGGAAUGCUACCUGGUUGAUCCUGCCAGUAGUCAUAU
Molecule: unclassified non-coding RNA, 475 nt
Filed under: Siphocranion macranthum
Lineage: Eukaryota; Viridiplantae; Streptophyta; Magnoliopsida; Lamiales; Lamiaceae
Description: partial external transcribed spacer
Source: RNAcentral